CCUACGGGCGGCUGCAGUGAGGAAUAUUGGUCAAUGGGCGCGAGCCUGAACCAGCCAAGUCGCGUGAGGUAUGAAGGUCCUAUGGAUCGUAAACCUCUUUUAUAAGGGAAUAAAGUGUGGCACGUGUCCCCUUUUGUAUGUACCUUAUGAAUAAGGAUCGGCUAACUCCGUGCCAGCAGCCGCGGUAAUCCGGAGGAUCCGAGCGUUAUCCGGAUUUAUUGGGUUUAAAGGGUGCGUAGGCGGCUUUUUAAGUCAGCGGUUAAAGUUGGGGGCUCAACCGUAGAAGUGCCGUUGAAACUGGGAGGCUUGAGUAUGGUUGAGGUAGGCGGAAUGCGUGGUGUAGCGGUGAAAUGCUUAGAUAUCACGCAGAACUCCGAUUGCGAAGGCAGCAUGCCAAGCCGUGACUGACGCUGAUGCACGAAAGCGUGGGGAUCAAACAGGAUUAGAUACCCGGGUAGUC
RNAcentral lists this ribosomal RNA (460 nucleotides) under uncultured bacterium. Its description in RNAcentral is "partial 16S ribosomal RNA". It matches the Rfam family "Bacterial small subunit ribosomal RNA", at positions 338 to 795 of the family's 1533-position model. The record is from RNAcentral.